RNAcentral lists this ribosomal RNA (499 nucleotides) under uncultured bacterium. Its description in RNAcentral is "partial 16S ribosomal RNA". It matches the Rfam family "Bacterial small subunit ribosomal RNA", at positions 28 to 523 of the family's 1533-position model. The record is from RNAcentral.
GAUGAACGCUAGCGGCAGGCCUAAUACAUGCAAGUCGAGCGGCAAGUCGAGGAGUAAUCUGAGACCUAGAGCGGCGUACGGGUGCGUAACGCGUAUGCAACCUACCUCAUACAGGGGGAUAGCCCGGAGAAAUCUGGAUUAAUACCCCAUAGCACAGCACAAGGGCAUCUGCGAGCUGUUAAAGAUGCAUCGGUAUGAGCUGGGCAUGCGGCUGAUUAGCUAGUUGGCGGUGUAACGGACCACCAAGGCGACGAUCAGUAGGGGUUCUGAGAGGAAGGUCCCCCACACUGGCACUGAGAUACGGGCCAGACUCCUACGGGAGGCAGCAGUAGGGAAUAUUGGGCAAUGGACGAGAGUCUGACCCAGCCAUGCCGCGUGCAGGAAGAAGGCCUUCUGGGUUGUAAACUGCUUUUAUCUGGGAAGAAAAGGCCCAUGCGUGGGACAUUGCCGGUACCAGAUGAAUAAGCACCGGCUAACUCCGUGCCAGCCGCCGCGGUAA